Molecule: long non-coding RNA, 545 nt
Organism: Salvelinus sp. IW2-2015
Lineage: Eukaryota; Metazoa; Chordata; Actinopteri; Salmoniformes; Salmonidae
Source: RefSeq, a predicted model, not a curated record
AACAUUUAAGCCGACAAAAACAUCACCAACUCAUCAUUACCAGUGGGGAUUGAUGCUGUCAAAUGGCGAGGAAAAGGUUGCAGCCUCAAAUACUGAGUAUUUCGAGCGAAAGGGAGCCGAGCAUUCACCUAGCUCAGCAUCAGUGAACAUGGCUAUGGCUAACGAGUCGAAAACAGUACGCAGAAAUGGAGAGCUAAGCGAAUGAUAGCUAGAUGGUAGGAAGGCGUGACAGGCCGCAUCCUGAACGUGUACUUGGAUGUGUAGGAUUGGUCAUCAACAUAAUGUGAAAGGCAAUCAAAAAGAUGCGAUUGUGAAAUAAAAUCCAUCUCCCUCCGCUGUCGGGGGAACACAUAUUUUGACUCAUUGACAUCUGUCAAAAUUCAAAGUGAGGAGAAGAAAACAUCAUCUCUUCCCAGAGAAUGAGUGAAUAAACUGACGUGGAUGAAGGGAAACGAUGAUAUGGAUGAAAACACUGUAACUGAAACAGCCAACCAACAGCUGUUGACUGAACUGCUCUCUAAUAAAGAUUGUUCUGUGCCAUAAAA